This 354-nucleotide long non-coding RNA is filed under the name Phasianus colchicus (ring-necked pheasant). RNAcentral's name for it is "lncRNA (ENSPCLG00000001287.1)". The record is from RNAcentral. Lineage: Eukaryota; Metazoa; Chordata; Aves; Galliformes; Phasianidae.
GCCAGUAAACAACCUGUAUUAAAAAGCUUCCAUUCAUCUUUGCAAUUCAAAGCCAGUUUCCUGUUCUAGCUCAGGACCUGGACCCUGUGGUGACUGUGCUCCUUCUCAGGCUGAAGGAGUCCAUUAGAGGUGGUGUGGAUAUUGAAAUAUGAAUCUGGUUCUGAUACAUGGCAGAGAGGAAACAGGAAUCCUGAGAGACUGCUGUAAUGAGGAGCCUCCUUUAUUCCCAGCUUCUUGAGAGCAAGGAGAAUUUGCAGUGUGAAUCGAAGCAAGUUCAAAUCCUCGAGGCAAUGCAAUACUGAAAACUAAGCUGUACUGAUUGCACAGCACGUGCUAAGCUGUGGGACUCCUUGC